CAGUCGCCCGGGAAUACAGAGGGUGCGAGCGUUAAUCGGAUUUACUGGGCGUAAAGCGUGCGUAGGCGGCUUUUUAAGUCGGAUGUGAAAUCCCUGAGCUUAACUUAGGAAUUGCAUUCGAUACUGGGAAGCUAGAGUAUGGGAGAGGAUGGUAGAAUUCCAGGUGUAGCGGUGAAAUGCGUAGAGAUCUGGAGGAAUACCGAUGGCGAAGGCAGCCAUCUGGCCUAAUACUGACGCUGAGGUACGAAAGCAUGGGGAGCAAACAGGAUUAGAUACCCCUGUAGUCCCUGUCUCUUAUACA
Molecule: ribosomal RNA, 301 nt
Filed under: uncultured bacterium
Lineage: Bacteria
Description: partial 16S ribosomal RNA
Rfam family: Bacterial small subunit ribosomal RNA
Source: RNAcentral